UGUUAACCCAUUUCCCUCACACCUUCCUAACUUAAUCUGCCUUUAAACCCAUUUCCCUCACACCUUCCUAACUUAAUCUGCCUGUUAACCCAUUUCCCUCACACCUUCCUAACUUAAUCUGCCUUUAAACCCAUUUCCCUCACACCUUCCUAACUUAAUCUGCCUUUAAACCCAUUUCCCUCACACCUUCCUAACUUAAUCUGCCUUUAAACCCAUUUCCCUCACACCUUCCUAACUUAAUCUGCCUUUAAACCCAUUUCCCUCACACCUACCUAAGAGGUUGAUUUAAUGUAGCACAACAGUGUAUUGAUGAGUUGAAGAGGUGAUUUAAUGUAGCACAACAGUGUAUUGAUGAGUUGAAGAGGUUGAUUUAAUGUAGCACAACAGUGUAUUGAUGAGUUUGUGUUAUGCCUGUUUAUCAGCAGUAAAUCAUUUGACCACACGCCUUGUGGCUUGAUAUUAUUCUCUUUUAUGUUUAACUUUCUAUAACUAAACUGUUAUGGGACUGUUCUAUUGACUGUAACUCUAAUACUAAUCACAUGUAUUGUAAAGGGAAAUGACAACAUGCUAUGAGUUGCAGCCUUUAGAAUAAUGACAACAUGCAAUGAGUUGCAGUCUUUAGAAUAAUGACAACAUGCAAUGAGUUGCAGUCUUUAGAAUAAUGUAAAACAUGUCCUUGACUCUGUCAAGUUGAUGAACGAAAGUUAGCCUGAAGACAAGAUUACAUUUACAAUAAUCUGAUGAGUGACAAUAUUAGGCCUUUCAGUUGUCAUCUAGUACAUGAAGAGAUGGGAGCAUCUAGUACAUGAAGAGAUGGGAGCAUCUAGUACAUGAAGAGAUGGGAGCAUCUAGAACAUAAAGAGAUGGGAGCAUCUAGUACAUGAAGAGAUGGGAGCAUCUAGUACAUGAAGAGAUGGGAGCAUCUAGUACAUGAAGAGAUGGG
Molecule: long non-coding RNA, 943 nt
Organism: Oncorhynchus tshawytscha (Chinook salmon)
Lineage: Eukaryota; Metazoa; Chordata; Actinopteri; Salmoniformes; Salmonidae
Source: Ensembl